AUGGAGGACGCCUACAUCACGGCCUGCCUCGCCGUAGCUCUCGUGUCGCUGCUCAUCGUGAUUGCGGGCCGCCGGCGCUGGGGGGCGCGUGGCGAUGGCCUGCGCAUGGCGCCCGGGCCGUGGCAGCUGCCGGUGAUCGGCAGCCUGCACCACCUCGUCCUGGCCGGGCAGCUCCCUCACCGCGCGAUGCGCGACCUGGCGCGGCGCUACGGGCCGGCCGUGAUGCUGCAGCUCGGCCAGGUUCCCACGCUGGUGGUGUCCUCCCGGGAGGGCGCGCGCGAGGUGAUGAAGAAUCACGACACCAUGUUCGCGACGCGGCCGCUGAGCACCACCAUGCGCGUGCUCUCCUACGGCGGCCAGGACAUCGUCUUCGCGCCCUACGGGGAGUACUGGCGCCAGCUCCGGAAGAUCGCCGUGUCCGAGCUCUUCACCGCGCGCCGCGUCCUCUCGUUCCGCGCCAUCCGUGAGGAGGAGGUCGCCACAGCUCUCCGCGUCGUCGGUGAGGCUGCGGCGGCGACGCGCCCCGUGGAGAUGCGCGGUGUGCUGUCCACGCUCGUGACGGACAGCACGGCGCGCGCCGUGAUAGGCGACCGGUGCAAGGAGCGCGACGCGUUCCUCCGGGAGCUCGAUCGCAUCGUGCAGCUCGCGUCAGGGUUCAACCUGGCCGACAUGUGGCCAUCGUCCCGGAUCGCCGCGUGGUUCAGUGGAGCCGAGGAGUGCCGCCACACCCUGUACACCAUGCUCGACGGCAUCGUUGAGGAGCACCUGGAGAGGAUGGACGGCGGCGGAGGCCACGCCGAGGACCUGCUCGACGUGCUGCUCAAGAUCCAGAAGGAGGGUGGUCUCAAGUUUCCCAUCCACAUGGACGCCGUCAAAGCCAUCAUCUUGGACGUAUUCUCCGCGGGCAGUGAAACAACAACUACGACAAUUGAGUGGGCCAUAUCAGAGCUUAUCAACAACCCGGUGGCCAUGCAGAAGGCGACAACUGAGGUGCGACAAGCCUUCCAUGCUAGUGGAACCGUGGCCGAGCACGCCCUAAGCGAGCUCCCAUACCUACGCUUGGUCAUCCGAGAGACGCUGCGGCUGCACCCGCCCCUGCCGUUGUUGUUUCGCGAGUGCCAGGAACCGUGCCAAGUGCAGGGAUACGACGUGCAGCGGGGCACGCAGGUGUUGGUCAAUGCUUGGUCUCUAGGCCGCGAUGAGCGCUAUUGGCCCGACGCGCCUGAGGAGUUUCGGCCGGAACGGUUCGAGGAAGAAGCAGCAAAGGCAGAUUUUGGGGGUGGUGACUUUGCGUUCUUGCCGUUUGGCGCCGGCCGCAGGAUGUGCCCUGGGAUGGCGUUUGGCCUCGCCGGCGUCGAGCUCCCGCUUGCAAGCAUGCUCUUCCACUUUGACUGGAAGCCACCAGGGCCAGGCUCGGCGGAGCUUGACAUGACAGAGACGUUCGGCCUCACCGCACGGCGGACGGACCAGCUCCCGCUGCGCCCUGUCCUUCGCGUACCUAUUCUCGGAGUCUAG
RNAcentral lists this ribosomal RNA (1515 nucleotides) under Triticum aestivum (bread wheat). RNAcentral describes it as "partial small subunit ribosomal RNA". Lineage: Eukaryota; Viridiplantae; Streptophyta; Magnoliopsida; Poales; Poaceae. The record is from RNAcentral.